AGGAGCUUAGAAUUCUAUGAAAAGUUCUUACAUUCUUAGGUCUGACUAUGAGGAAGGGAAAAUUGCAUGCCUCAUUUUCUUCAGAUAUAUAAAAUAAGUCACCUUGUUUUAGAGAUUGUGGUUACAUGUAGGAAAUCUAAAUUUAAAACACACACACACACACACACACACACACACACACACACACACAAUUUCUUAUUUUUGAAAGGAAAGGUCAAUAAUUCAGCAGACUCUGUCACAACUAGAGACGAAAGACACCCAAAGUAUCAUUUCCUCUUCUCUUUUACUGGAACCUUAAAUUCCUGUUGCCUCUCCUCCAGUGACUGUGAGUAUAACUGACAUUAAUUUAAAUGUCUUUGAACUUACUUAGUCAUCGGCUUUGGCAAAGAGGGAAUACUUACAAAAGGAAGUUCACUUAUUUUAGUUGUUAUCGUUAAAGCUUUUGUUUCUGAUCAGCCUAAGUCAAUCAGAGUAGGUUGGAAACCCAUGAGACAAAAAGGUGUUAAAUUGAUUUGGGGAGGUUGAUCAAGAAGCUGUUAUUUGUCUUCGACGUUGAGACCACAGACCUGUCUUCUAUGGGGUAUGGACCUCUGUAGCUGAUCUUGAUUUUCAGUGAGCUCUGGACAGCCCUUCCCUGGUUCCCUUUUGUGAUUGGUCCUUGAGGAAUAGCUUGACAGAGUUAAAUGAACAGGUUGUGAGAGUAAUUCACAUUUGUCUAUAAUAAGAAAUGAAAGAGA
This is a long non-coding RNA of Sapajus apella (tufted capuchin), 737 nucleotides long. RefSeq lists it as uncharacterized. The record is from RefSeq and is a predicted model, not a curated record. The transcript is spliced from 3 exons. NCBI's taxonomy places the organism in Eukaryota, Metazoa, Chordata, Mammalia, Primates, Cebidae.